GACGAACGCUGGCGGCGUGCUUAACACAUGCAAGUCGAACGAAGAGCGAUGGAAGCUUUCUUCUAUCAGUCUUCGUGGCGAACGCGUGAGUAACGCGUAAUCCACCUGCCCUUCAGAGGGGGACAACAGUUGGAAACGACUGCUAAUACCGCAUACGAUCUAAUCUCGGCAUCGAGGAUAGAUGAAAGGUGGCCUCUACAUGUAAGUUAUCACUGAAGGGGGUGAUUGCGUCUGAUUAGCUAGUUGGAGGGGUAACGGCCCACCAAGGCGAUGAUCAGGAGCCGGUCUGAGUGGAAGAACAGCCACAUUGAGACUGAGACACGGCCCAGACUCCUACGGGAGGCAGCAGUGGGGAAUCUUCCGCAAUGGACGAAAGUCUGACGGAGCAACGCCGCGGGAGUGAUGACGGCCUUCGGGUUGUAAAGUUCUGUUAAUCGGGACGAAAGGCCUUCUUGCGAAUAGUGAGAAGGAUUGACGGUACCGGAAGAGAAAGCCACGGCUAACUACGUG
Molecule: ribosomal RNA, 510 nt
Filed under: uncultured bacterium
Lineage: Bacteria
Description: partial 16S ribosomal RNA
Rfam family: Bacterial small subunit ribosomal RNA
Source: RNAcentral